AUUUGAAUAACAAUGAUUGUUUGUUUCAGAAACAUGAUUCCAAUUCUACAGACGUGUUGCACAGUUUAGCGGCGGGCGCCAUCGCUGUUGCUUUAGCCAUGAGUUCAAUCGCUCCAUUAGAUAGAACUAAAAUCAUUUUUUAAGUAUCUCAAGAACCGUAUUCUGGUAGAGCUGCGUUUAAAUUUUUGGCUAAUACUUAUGCAAAAGAUGGUUUUAUAUGGUUAUGGCGAGGAAAUACAGACACCAUGA
Long non-coding RNA from Acyrthosiphon pisum (pea aphid), 249 nucleotides. RefSeq lists it as uncharacterized. The transcript is spliced from 2 exons. The record is from RefSeq and is a predicted model, not a curated record. NCBI's taxonomy places the organism in Eukaryota, Metazoa, Arthropoda, Insecta, Hemiptera, Aphididae.